AAAGUUUAGCAACUCCUUUCAGUUGCAACUACGUUCUGCAGCAAGAAGGUGAACAUUUAACAAAGACACGAGAAAAGUUAGCAGAUUUUAGCACGAAAUGAGACGAGUUUUAGUUCUCGUGGUAUUCAUUGCAGUCUUAGCCAUGCUUUGGCGAAGUGCUGAUGGUGAAAAAGAAGAUGGAUUGCUGUCGGGUAUAAAGGAUAAUCUUGCGAAAAGAAGCUUAUCAGAUAUAACGCAGGCAGUAGCGGAGCGCGUUAAACGUGCCUUGAGGGUGAAACGAUGGUGGUGGUGUGGGAAAAAAAGGCGAAAGCUCAAAGGUUGCCCUAAGAAAAAAAAGCGAAACUGAUCCAGUUGAUGUCAGCGUUCAGCACUGAAGAAGACGGUAUCGAUAUGAAACUGCAGAUUGAACAAUCUUACACAUGGUGUCGCUGAAGAAACUUUAAGAAUUGACAAGACAAACACAAAUGAUGUUCAAGACGAAAACGUAGUGCUAGAAGCCAUAACUUAACCUUGAAGUAUUUAUAUUGUUGGAGUAUAUUUAUUUUUGUUUAACUUAUGAGUUUAUUUGUAUGUAUGCGUGUGUAAUAAAAUAAGCUAUAAGCUAUUUAUUGGCUAAGACAGAAUAAACAAGAUAUUUUAUAUCA
Orbicella faveolata is the source of this 644-nucleotide long non-coding RNA. RefSeq lists it as uncharacterized. The record is from RefSeq and is a predicted model, not a curated record. NCBI's taxonomy places the organism in Eukaryota, Metazoa, Cnidaria, Anthozoa, Scleractinia, Merulinidae.